RNAcentral lists this ribosomal RNA (252 nucleotides) under uncultured bacterium. Its description in RNAcentral is "partial 16S ribosomal RNA". It matches the Rfam family "Bacterial small subunit ribosomal RNA", at positions 524 to 775 of the family's 1533-position model. The record is from RNAcentral.
UACGGAGGGGGCUAGCGUUGUUCGGAAUUACUGGGCGUAAAGCGCACGUAGGCGGCUUUGUAAGUUAGAGGUGAAAGCCCGGGGCUCAACUCCGGAAUUGCCUUUAAGACUGCAUCGCUAGAAUUGUGGAGAGGUAAGUGGAAUUCCGAGUGUAGAGGUGAAAUUCGUAGAUAUUCGGAAGAACACCAGUGGCGAAGGCGACUUACUGGACACAUAUUGACGCUGAGGUGCGAAAGCGUGGGGAGCAAACAG